GGCACUGUAUGGUAUCUGCAGCCAGCCGUUUCUCCAAGCUGGACUGUUCAUUACACAGUGCAAGAGCAACCCGGCAUCUGGCAUCGUUGGUCUCCAUGCUUCCUAGUGCCUUGGAGUCCUGGUAUUCGUGCUGAAACAAGC
This is a small nucleolar RNA of Megalops cyprinoides (Indo-Pacific tarpon), 141 nucleotides long. RefSeq annotates it as small nucleolar RNA SNORA8. The record is from RefSeq and is a predicted model, not a curated record. The transcript has a single exon. Lineage: Eukaryota; Metazoa; Chordata; Actinopteri; Elopiformes; Megalopidae.